This 437-nucleotide long non-coding RNA is filed under the name Cercocebus atys (sooty mangabey). Its description in RNAcentral is "lncRNA (ENSCATG00000045410.1)". Lineage: Eukaryota; Metazoa; Chordata; Mammalia; Primates; Cercopithecidae. The record is from RNAcentral.
AGACAGAACAGUGGUGCCGAGCAUGGCUAAAGCAUCUCUGCAUUCACAGGGAGAGGAGCGGAAGACCUUCUGGUGUGGGCUGGGCUGCAAUUCACUUGCAGGAGAAACAGCCCGGGUGUGGAGAGGUGGCCAUCCUUGGCAGGAUCCUUUCUAAAGAGCCGAGAAAUCAACAUAGAGCCUCUUCUAUCUGAUUCUCUAACAACUGCAGACCUUCCAUGAGUCAAGCUUUGUGUCAAAAGGACAAAUUAAAAGGACCUAUAAAAGGCACCGCCCAGCCCAAUGGACAGAUGCCCCAGGCUGCACAUUCUGUCAGUGCUGUUCUGCAAGAGGCCCAGACACACGCUGAAACAUCCAAGGUAAAACCAGCAAGCAGCUGACAUACAUUCCAUCAGCCGUCCCCCAAAACCCAUGUUCUCAACCAUUCGCAUUGUUCCAAU